CCUACGGGAGGCUGCAGUGGGGAAUAUUGCACAAUGGGGGGAACCCUGAUGUAGCGACGCCGCGUGAAGGAAGAAGUUUUUCGGUAUGUAAACUUCUAUCAGCAGGGAAGAAAAUGACGGUACCUGACUAAGAAUCCCCUGCUAACUACGUUCCAGCAGCCGCGGUAAUACGUAGGGGGCAAGCGUUAUCCGGAUUUACUGGGUGUAAAGGGAGCGUAGGCGGCGUUGCAAGUCAGAAGUGAAAGCCCGGGGCUCAACUCGGGGACUGCUUUUGAAACUGUGUUGCGAGAUUGCAGGAGAGGUAAGUGGAAUUCCUAGUGUAGCGGUGAAAUGCGUAGAUAUUAGGAGGAACACCAGUGGCGAAGGCGGCUUACUGGACUGUAAAUGACGCUGAGGUUCGAAAGCGUGGGGAGCAAACAGGAUUAGAUACCCCAGUAGUC
This 440-nucleotide ribosomal RNA is filed under the name uncultured bacterium. RNAcentral describes it as "partial 16S ribosomal RNA". It matches the Rfam family "Bacterial small subunit ribosomal RNA", at positions 338 to 795 of the family's 1533-position model. The record is from RNAcentral.